This 69-nucleotide transfer RNA is filed under the name Endoclita minanus. RNAcentral describes it as "tRNA-Glu". Lineage: Eukaryota; Metazoa; Arthropoda; Insecta; Lepidoptera; Hepialidae. The record is from RNAcentral.
AUUUAUAUAGUUUAAAAUAAAACAAUACAUUUUCAUUGUAUAAUUAAAUUAUCUACUAUUUUAUAAAUA